Molecule: unclassified non-coding RNA, 264 nt
Filed under: Hevea brasiliensis (rubber tree)
Lineage: Eukaryota; Viridiplantae; Streptophyta; Magnoliopsida; Malpighiales; Euphorbiaceae
Source: RNAcentral
CAUCAGUAAUGUUUUUGAAUCACUUUCUGAUGUCAACUUAAUCAAGGCGCUAAGAGCAACUUUCUUUUCACUUUCUAAUGCAGCAUCAAGCAUGUCAACUAAUGGCUGAAUGGCUUGAAUUGAUGUUUCUGAAUCUCGGAUGUUCUCAGCAUCAAAAAGUUCAUUUAAAGCCCGAGCAGCACUCAGCCUUGCAUUUCUUGACCCCAAAUGAAGAACAGCAAUCAGUUGUAUUGAGCAACUAACUGCUGCUUCAUACUGGAGAAG